CUUCAAAUAUGCUUUACAAGUCUAGAGCUUAGACAUUCAGUAUAAAAAAAAAAAAAAAAAAAAUCCCCCAACGAAAGUUACGAAACACAAAAAAAAACCCUAACUCCACAAAGACCACUCUUACCGAUCUCAAGCUACCUCUCGAUCCAACACACUCCCCUCACCGAUCUCAAUCUAUCUCACUCCCACCCUAUCCGAAUCCCCUUCCUCCCUCCGCUCUUCCUCCUCUCCAUUCCCUUCUCAUCGAUCGGUAGCACACACACACUUUCUCUCGAACUCUCAAUCUCACUCAAGGCACUCUCGCAAGGCCGACUAACAAUAGAGAAGGCCAAGUAAUAAACCUUGCGAUACAUAGAUGAGAAGGAGACAACAUUGAGAGAACUACCACCGUUGCAGAAUACCGUUUCCCUGUGCCAGAUAAUGACAUUGGGACUUCUGCAAUAAGAGAAUUAAAAGCAUGCGCUCAAAAAUCAUGCGGGUAUGUGCUGCGCUAGGGAUCGAAACGUCCACACACCAUACUAAUAGGAAAAUGUUCUUGUCAUUGGUGUACAAUUAAUGCACACGUCUCUUCGUGAUUCAAGUUCCUUGAAUUAUUUUCACAUGCUCUCAUCCUCGAUACAAUGAAUAAGUCUUGGAAAAUGCAAGUAGAAGUUUUGCAUUAAUUACAAAAUGACUUUCUAAGUUCCUAGGCUGCUAUAUAUAUAUAAAAAGCCUUCUGUUAUUGUACUUUUAAAGAGCAGAGAAAUAGAUUAACAAAAACAGGAACAUUUGGGACAUAAAGGGUUGCAUCCAAAUCACACAGAACCGUGAAAAAAAAAACACUAGCAUAUGUAAUGUCAGACCCAGAAAAUAAUGCGGCUACAAUAGCCAAGUGUGCUGUCGCAGUGCUUGGCGUAGCAAUUACCAUAUUUGGUCUCCUAUCUUGUUCAUCAGGAUCUAAAAACAGGAAGACAAUGAAAGCACCGGCUAGAAAUCAUCGCAUAUUCAGAGAUGUUUUUGAGAGAGACCCGGCAGCCUACUUUCGCAACCUGCGCAAGUAGUAGUAAUAUAACUUUUUCAGUUUUCUAUAUGUAAUAAAGUUAUCAAUAAUGCUGAGUGUCAUUGCUGUUUCCUUUGGCUUGUUAAUAGCUCUGGGGCUUAUUGAAUAAAUAUUUUGGAACUUAUCAUCUUUGAAUGGAGUAUUAAAUUCCAGUGUUA
This is a long non-coding RNA of Quercus robur (English oak), 1197 nucleotides long. RefSeq lists it as uncharacterized. NCBI's taxonomy places the organism in Eukaryota, Viridiplantae, Streptophyta, Magnoliopsida, Fagales, Fagaceae. The transcript is spliced from 4 exons. The record is from RefSeq and is a predicted model, not a curated record.